UUUUGGCGCGAUCGCCUUUGGUAUGAUGUGGCUCUUGAUGAACGCUACCGGUAGGCUUAUUACAUGCUGCGUCAGGUGGCAGCUGUGUCGCCGUGCUUCAGGUGCGUACCACUUAUGCAUCCUACCUUGUGCUGUGGGAUAGCCCGGAGAAACCCUGAUUGCUACCGCAUGACACGUUUGGUUCUCAUGGACUGCAUGCUGUCUAGGAUUUAUUGUGUUAACAUGGGCAUGCCUGCGAUUAGCUUAUUUGGCAGGGUCACCGCCCCCCGAUGCCACAAUCUAUUGGGGAGCUGAUAGGUUGAUCCCCCCCACCGUCGCUGAGAUGCCGGCCCUACUCCUACGGCAUGCCCCCCUUCGGAAUAUUGUGCCAUGGAUGCCUGUCUGACCCGCCCAUGCCUCGUGCCUGAUGAGCGCCCUCUCGGUUGUGUUGCGCUUUUAUUCGGGACUAACACCACGGAUGCGUCCUUGUGUGACACGUACCGCAAUGAAUAAGCACGCUGCUAACUCCGUGCCUGCAGCCGCGGUAAUACUGACGGUGCGAGCGUUGUCCUGAUUUAUUGGGUUUAGACGGUGCGUAGGUGGCUUUAUAAGUCAGUGGUGAAAUACUUGCGCUCAACCGUUGAGGUGCCAUUGAUACUGUAUAGCUUGACACUACUGCACGCUGCCCGAAUGUAUGGUGUAACCUUCAGCUGCAUAGGUGUCAUCUCCAUCCCGACUGCGAUGC
RNAcentral lists this ribosomal RNA (724 nucleotides) under uncultured bacterium. Its description in RNAcentral is "bacterial SSU rRNA". It matches the Rfam family "Bacterial small subunit ribosomal RNA", at positions 1 to 722 of the family's 1533-position model. The record is from RNAcentral.